This 393-nucleotide ribosomal RNA is filed under the name uncultured bacterium. RNAcentral describes it as "partial 16S ribosomal RNA". It matches the Rfam family "Bacterial small subunit ribosomal RNA", at positions 523 to 918 of the family's 1533-position model. The record is from RNAcentral.
AUACGGAGGUUCCGAGCGUUAUCCGGAUUUAUUGGGCUUAAAGGGAGUGUAGGCGGACGCUUAAGUCAGUUGUGAAAGUUUGCGGCUCAACCGUAAAAUUGCAGUUGAUACUGGUUUCCUUGAGUACGGUAUAGGGGGGCGGAAUUCGUGGUGUAGCGGUGAAAUGCUUAGAAAUCACGAAGAACUCCGAUCGCGAAGGCAGCUCACCGGGCCGGAACUGACACUGAUGCUCGAAAGUGCGGGUAUCAAACAGGAUUAGAUACCCUGGUAGUCCGCACAGUAAACGACGAAUACUCGCUGUUUGCGAUACACUGUAAGCGGCCAAGCGAAAGCGUUAAGUAUUCCACCUGGGGAGUACGCCGGCAACGGUGAAACUCAAAGGAAUUGACGGGG